Molecule: ribosomal RNA, 434 nt
Filed under: uncultured bacterium
Lineage: Bacteria
Description: partial 16S ribosomal RNA
Rfam family: Bacterial small subunit ribosomal RNA
Source: RNAcentral
AGCGAACGCUGGCGGCAGGCCUAACACAUGCAAGUCGAACGAACCCAUCGUGGUUAGUUGCGGUCGGGUGAGUAACACGUGGGAACGUGCCGUUAGGUUUCGAAUAACUCAGUUUAACUUGUGCUAACACCGGAUAAGCCCCUCGGGUGCAAAAUCUAUCGUCCUUAGAGAGGCCCGCGUCCGUUUAGCGAGUUGGUUGAGGUAAUGGCGAACCAAGGUGACGAACAGUAGCUGGUCUGAGAGGAAGAGCAGACACAUCGGGGAUGAGACACAGAGGAAACUCCUACGGGAGGCGGCAGUGGGGAAUCCUGCAAAAUGGGCGAAAGGCUGAAGCAGCCAGGGUGGGUAAAUGAUGAAGGUCUUAGAAUAGUACAAUUCUUUAAACGGGCGCGGUAAUGACGGUACCCGAAGAAGAAGCACCGGCUAACUUCGUG